AGUGAACGCUGGCGGCGUGCCUAACACAUGCAAGUCGAACGGGCUAGUGCUUCGCACUAGUCUCUUUCUGGGGUUGCUACUCUAAGGCUACCUGCUAAAGUUAUUGCUUUAAAGCAGGGGUUUUAGGGGACCUUCCCCAAAAGGGGCCAGUGCGGAGCACUGGCCAGUGGCGAACGGGUGAGUAACACGUGGGUAAUCUGCCCUCGAGUGGGGAAUAAGCUCCCGAAAGGGGGUCUAAUACCGCAUGACGUUUCAUAACGAUGGUUAUGAAACCAAAGCCCAAAAGGCGCUUGAGGAGGAGCCUGCGUCCUAUCAGCUUGUUGGCAGGGUAAUGGCCUACCAAGGCUAUGACGGGUAGCCGGCCUGAGAGGGUGUCCGGCCACACUGGAACUGAGACACGGUCCAGACUCCUACGGGAGGCAGCAGUGGGGAAUUUUGCGCAAUGGGGAAACCCUGACGCAGCGACGCCGCGUGGAGGAUGACGGCCUCGGUGUAACUCCUGUCAGAGGACGAAUACCGCGAAC
This 524-nucleotide ribosomal RNA is filed under the name uncultured bacterium. Its description in RNAcentral is "bacterial SSU rRNA". It matches the Rfam family "Bacterial small subunit ribosomal RNA", at positions 29 to 459 of the family's 1533-position model. The record is from RNAcentral.